RNAcentral lists this long non-coding RNA (2050 nucleotides) under Homo sapiens (human). RNAcentral's name for it is "HSALNT0361536". Lineage: Eukaryota; Metazoa; Chordata; Mammalia; Primates; Hominidae. The record is from RNAcentral.
AGCAGGAACAUCAGUUUAUAUGUUGUCAAGUUGACCCACCUAGCUGACCUUUCACUGAGAAACACAUCUCCAUUCAGAAUAGCCACAUUUCAAGUACUUCAUAGCUACACACGGCUAAGUAGCCACCAACUACACAGCAGAGUGCAAGAAGAUGUCAGGGAACAAGGUAGAAGGAGCCUGGUUCCUGGAUGGCCUUAUGGAGCAAAGCCUCCCAUCAUGCUGGAUCUCCCAUUUACCUCUUGUUUAAAACACUGUGUUUUGGAUUCUGUUAGUAACAUGAGCUUAGCCUGUACUAUGACUAAUAUAACAUGGUAAGAGUCCCCCCACCUCACAACAGAAAUUGAUAUUGACCUAUAUAUAUGUGACAGUCUGUAUAACAAGCAAAUGGACAGUGUGAGAGUGAAAAGCUCCUGAUAUACCAGCCCAUAGUGGUAAACGUAUCAGUGAUUAUAGCUUCUUGAUGCAACUGAAAGAGUCAGCUGUAAUGAAACAGCUUAUCUGUGUAUGGGGGAGUACUCAAGUUUUAAACCUUGAAAAAUUCCAUUUUGAUAUGCUUUUUUGUAUGUUUUUAUUUCUUUCAUUUCCUAAAACUCAGAGCAAUAAACAAUCUCCACAACCAUUAAGCAUUAGCUAUGUUUGCAUUUUCUAAUUUUUAUUAUCAGUUUGAACUAAAUACUUAAGUAAUGGUUAGAAAUAGUUACAUAACAAAAAAGCAGGGAAUGGUGCAAAAAAGGGAAGAGAGGUAGGAGGGGUGGCUUAAUUAUAAUAUCAUCAGCAGCACUUAAGUUUUUAAAAACUCCACCAUCCAGGAAAUAGUUUAUUUAAAAGACCUCAUCUUGUGUAAAUUUCUUAGAGCCUAAAUAUGUCCUUUCCAAACAUAUAAUUUUACAGGCAUGGUCAUAUAACAUCUGUAUGUAAAAACAAAACAACAGUCAAAUCUGUUUUUUCUUUUUUUUUUUUUCUUUCUGGGUUUUUUUUUUCCUAUCCAAUUUGUUUUUGUUUCCCCACAAACAAAAGGAAUUGGCCAAAGGCUGACAAGGUUCUUCAUGUUUCUAAAUUAAUCCUCUAGUUUAUGGGGAAAUGCAACACUGAAGCCAAUAAGAGAAAACAGCAAAUGUGAAUAAGGAUUUAUCACUUUAUAUUACUUUGUAGUAAUAUAAAGUAAUUCUCCUGAGAGAUGUCAGUUACUAUCUUGAUUUGUUGUUCUGUUUUCCUUGAAGGAAGGCUCACCAUCCAGAAGGCUGAGGGUAGCUGAGUGAAUUUCAUUCUAUUCCCAACUAAUUUCAUUGAGUCAGCACAUAAGACUGGUUAAGAGCACAGAUUUAGGAGUCAGACAGACCUGAGACUGUAUCCUGAUUCUGCUGAUUAUUAGCUGUGUGACCAUGGAUAAGGAAUAAACUUCUCUGAGGUUUAGUCUUCUCAUCCAUAAAACAGUAACGAUCAGAAACUUCCUCAAAGUACUGUAAGGAAUAAGUGAGAUGAGUCGGAAGAACUUAACACAAUAUCUUAUCCAGGGCUUUGCUGCUAAGUAUUUUUCUAUUUCCAAAAUAAUCAUCUCAUAACAUAUUUUUUUAGCAACCACUGUGUGACAAUUUCUUUUGACAUGAAUUAUUUCUAAUUCUCACAGGAAUGCUGGGAAAAAAUCAAAACACCCUCAUUUUACAGAUGGAGAAAUUGGCUCAGAGAGGUGAAGUGGCUUCCUGAGAUCACACAGUGAAUAUGUGACCAAGGAGGACCUGAAACCAACCCACCCAACAUCAAAGCCUGUGCGCUUUCCACCAGGCUGAGGUGUCCACCCCUGUGGUCAGUGUGUGUCUCAGUGUGGGACAAAGGAAAAACCAUGCAGCUUUGGAGGUCUCCAAACCUCCCAGUUUAGGAUAAACCCCUCAAUUAUGCUUGAAGUUGGACCAGCUUUUGAAACCUCUACUGGACAUUCUUUUCCCAUCAAGUUCCUUGAAAUGUCUCUUUAAAAUACAUCUAGGAAAAGCCACUCUCAUUAGCCAGAGUCUGACUUUAUUUUCCUAAUAAACAGACCUCCAGUAAGACAAAA